This 219-nucleotide ribosomal RNA is filed under the name Lactobacillus delbrueckii subsp. bulgaricus. RNAcentral describes it as "partial 23S ribosomal RNA". It matches the Rfam family "Bacterial large subunit ribosomal RNA", at positions 398 to 619 of the family's 2925-position model. The record is from RNAcentral. Lineage: Bacteria; Bacillati; Bacillota; Bacilli; Lactobacillales; Lactobacillaceae.
UAUCAGUAUCCUGAGUAGGGCGGGACACGUGAAAUCCCGUUUGAAUCCGCGAGGACCAUCUCGCAAGGCUAAAUACUAACCAGUGACCGAUAGUGAACCAGUACCGUGAGGGAAAGGUGAAAAGAACCCCGGGAGGGGAGUGAAAGAGAACCUGAAACCGUGUGCCUACAAGUAGUCAGAGCCCGUUAACGGGUAAUGGCGUGCCUUUUGUAGAAUGAA